Molecule: non-coding RNA, 947 nt
Filed under: Synodus kaianus (Gunther's lizard fish)
Lineage: Eukaryota; Metazoa; Chordata; Actinopteri; Aulopiformes; Synodontidae
Description: 12S ribosomal RNA
Rfam family: Bacterial small subunit ribosomal RNA
Source: RNAcentral
CAAAAGCUUGGUCCUGACUUUUUUAUCAGCUUUUACUAAACUUACACAUGCAAGUCUCCGCAAACCUGUGAGAAUGCCCUUAAUCUCCUUCCCCGGACAAUAGGAGCCGGUAUCAGGCACACACCUUUAGAUGCCCAAGACGCCUUGCUUAGCCACACCCCCAAGGGACUUCAGCAGUGAUUAACAUUAAUCUAUGGGCGAAAGCCUGAAUUAGUGAAAGUAAACAGGGCCGGCUAAACUCGUGCCAGCCGCCGCGGUUAUACGAGAGGCCCAAGUCGAUAAAAAGCGGCGUAAAGGGUGGUUAAGGAAUUUUUUAACUAGAGAAGAACGCUCUCCGAGCUGUUAUACGCCCACAAGAGUGUGAACCCCUACUGCGAAGGCGACUUUAUUUUACCUGAAUCCACGACAGCUCCGGCACAAACUGGGAUUAGAUACCCCACUAUGCCUAGCCGUAAACUUCGAUAUAAGAAUACAACAUAUAUCCGCCAGGGUACUACGAGCAGUAGCUUAAAACCCAAAGGACUUGGCGGUGCUUCAGACCCCCCUAGAGGAGCCUGUUCUAGAACCGAUAAUCCCCGUUUAACCUCACCACCCCUAGCCCCCCCCCGCCUAUAUACCGCCGUCGUCAGCUUACCCUUUGAAGGUUAUAAAAGUAAGCACAAUAGCCAGAGGCAAGAACGUCAGGUCGAGGUGUAGCGCAUGAGGUGGGAAGAAAUGGGCUACAUUCUCUAACCCUAGAGAACAACGAAGGGAGACAUGAAACUUUUCUCCUAAAGGUGGAUUUAGCAGUAAGUUGAAGUAGAGAGUUCAGCUGAAACCGGCUCUGAAGCGCGCACACACCGCCCGUCACUCUCCCCAAAAAAAUGCCUAUUUUCAUAAGAAACUCAAUAACCAAGGGGAGGCAAGUCGUAACACGGUAAGUGUACCGGAAGGUGCACUUGGAUAAC